UACAGAGGUCCCGAGCGUUGUCCGGAAUCACUGGGCGUAAAGGGCGCGUAGGCGGCCCUGGCAGUCGGUGGUGAAAGCCCGCGGCUCAACUGCGGGUCGGCCGUCGAUACUCCCGUGCUCGAGCACUGUAGAGGCAGGUGGAAUUCCGGGUGUAGCGGUGGAAUGCGUAGAGAUCCGGAAGAACACCGGUGGCGAAGGCGGCCUGCUGGGCAGUAGCUGACGCUGAGGCGCGACAGCGUGGGGAGCAAACAGG
Molecule: ribosomal RNA, 253 nt
Filed under: uncultured bacterium
Lineage: Bacteria
Description: partial 16S ribosomal RNA
Rfam family: Bacterial small subunit ribosomal RNA
Source: RNAcentral